MicroRNA precursor from Cervus hanglu yarkandensis (Yarkand deer), 95 nucleotides. The record is from Ensembl. Lineage: Eukaryota; Metazoa; Chordata; Mammalia; Artiodactyla; Cervidae.
CAGGUACUCGAAUGGAGGUUGUCCAUGGUGUGUUCAUUUUAUUUAUGAUGAGUAUUACAUGGCCAAUCUCCUUUCAGUACUAAAUUCUUCUUGGG